AACGCAAAUUGCACUCUCUGGCAACCCGGAGAGUAUGCCUGUUUGAGGGUCAGUGUUAAUAAAAAUCGGUGCGUUGCAAUUUUUUUUGUGAUGUUUCCGGAGUUUGAGUUAUCUUAAAGUAACUCUUCUGGGGUUUUUAAGAGGCUUAAAAUUGACCUUUUUUGUGCAUUUUAGACGUACAUAAAUUUUUUUUUAUUCGUCCAUCUUAAUGCCAAAAUCUAAUAGAUGCGACCAUAUCAUGUGGUUUCGUGUCCAUAAAUUUUUCAUGAUUUGACCUCAAAUCAGGUAGGAACACCCGCUGAACUUAA
This 308-nucleotide unclassified non-coding RNA is filed under the name uncultured Rhizophagus. Its description in RNAcentral is "sequence contains ITS2". Lineage: Eukaryota; Fungi; Glomeromycota; Glomeromycetes; Glomerales; Glomeraceae. The record is from RNAcentral.